GAUGAACGCUGGCGGCGUGCCUAAUACAUGCAAGUCGAGCGAACGGACGAGAAGCUUGCUUCUCUGAUGUUAGCGGCGGACGGGUGAGUAACACGUGGAUAACCUACCUAUAAGACUGGGAUAACUUCGGGAAACCGGAGCUAAUACCGGAUAAUAUUUUGAACCGCAUGGUUCAAAAGUGAAAGACGGUCUUGCUGUCACUUAUAGAUGGAUCCGCGCUGCAUUAGCUAGUUGGUAAGGUAACGGCUUACCAAGGCAACGAUGCAUAGCCGACCUGAGAGGGAGGACGGCCAGACUGGAAGUGAGACACGGCACAGACUCCGACGGGAGGAAGCAGUCGGGAAUCUUCCGCAAUGGGCGAAAGCCUGACGGAGCAAAGCGGGGUGAGUGAUGAAGGUGUUAGGAUCGUAAAACUAUGUUAUUAGGGAAGAACAUAUGUGUAAGUAACUGUGAACAUAUUGACGGUACCGAAUCAGAAAGCCACGGCUAACUACGUG
RNAcentral lists this ribosomal RNA (497 nucleotides) under uncultured bacterium. RNAcentral describes it as "partial 16S ribosomal RNA". It matches the Rfam family "Bacterial small subunit ribosomal RNA", at positions 28 to 507 of the family's 1533-position model. The record is from RNAcentral.